CAGUAGCCGCAGUAAUACGGAGGGGGCUAGCGUUGUUCGGAAUUACUGGGCGUAAAGCGCACGUAGGCUGCUUUGUAAGUUAGAGGUGAAAGCCUGGUGCUCAACACCAGAACUGCCUUUAAGACUGCAGAGCUAGAACGUCGGAGAGGUGAGUGGAAUUCCGAGUGUAGAGGUGAAAUUCGUAGAUAUUCGGAAGAACACCAGUGGCGAAGGCGGCUCACUGGACGACUGUUGACGCUGAGGUGCGAAAGCGUGGGGAGCAAACAGGAUUAGAUACCCGAGUAGUCCCUGUCUCUUAUAC
RNAcentral lists this ribosomal RNA (301 nucleotides) under uncultured bacterium. Its description in RNAcentral is "partial 16S ribosomal RNA". It matches the Rfam family "Bacterial small subunit ribosomal RNA", at positions 509 to 807 of the family's 1533-position model. The record is from RNAcentral.